CCCUUAGAUGCUCUGGGCCGCACGCGCGCUACACUGGUCGAUGCAACGAGUUUCUUUCCUUGGCCGACAGGCCUGGGCAAUCUUUGAACAUCGAUCGUGAUCGGGAUAGAUUCUUGUAAUUUUUGAUCUUCAACGAGGAAUUCCUAGUAAACGCAAGUCAUCAGCUUGCAUUGAUUACGUCCCUGCCCUUUGUACACACCGCCCGUCGCACCUACCGAUUGAAUGGUCCGGUGAAAUCUCGGGACGGCGGCUUGGUCGCUUGCGUCCGACUGCUGAAACUUGAUUAAACCAUAUCAUUUAGAGGAAGGUGAAGUCGUAACA
This 321-nucleotide ribosomal RNA is filed under the name uncultured eukaryote. RNAcentral's name for it is "partial 18S ribosomal RNA". It matches the Rfam family "Eukaryotic small subunit ribosomal RNA", at positions 1470 to 1796 of the family's 1831-position model. The record is from RNAcentral.